GUCGGGACAGCAGCGAAGCCUGACCAGCACGCCGCGUGCACGAUGAAGGUCUUCGGAUCGUAAAGUGCUUUUCUGAGGAAUGAGAAAGGACAGUACCUCAGGAAUAAGCCUCGGCUAACUACGUGCCAGCAGCCGCGGUAAUAGACACAGCCGCGG
Molecule: ribosomal RNA, 156 nt
Filed under: uncultured Chloroflexota bacterium
Lineage: Bacteria; Bacillati; Chloroflexota
Description: uncultured Chloroflexi bacterium partial 16S ribosomal RNA
Rfam family: Bacterial small subunit ribosomal RNA
Source: RNAcentral